This 255-nucleotide ribosomal RNA is filed under the name uncultured bacterium. RNAcentral describes it as "partial 16S ribosomal RNA". It matches the Rfam family "Bacterial small subunit ribosomal RNA", at positions 524 to 777 of the family's 1533-position model. The record is from RNAcentral.
UACGGGGGGGGGCAAGCGUUGUUCGGAAUUACUGGGCGUAAAGGGCUCGUAGGCGGCCAACUAAGUCAGACGUGAAAUCCCUCGGCUUAACCGGGGAACUGCGUCUGAUACUGGAUGGCUUGAGUUCGGGAGAGGGAUGUGGAAUUCCAGGUGUAGCGGUGAAAUGCGUAGAUAUCUGGAGGAACACCGGUGGCGAAGGCGGCAUCCUGGACCGAUACUGACGCUGAGGAGCGAAAGCCAGGGGAGCAAACGGGG